AAUCAACGCUGGCGGCGUGCCUAACACAUGCAAGUCGAACGCGAAGGAAGACUUCGGUUUCUGGAGAGUGGCGCACGGGUGAGUAACACGUGGGUAAUCUGCCUUUGGGUGGGGAAUAACGAUCCGAAAGGGUCGCUAAUACCGCAUAACGCAGCGGCACCGCAUGGUGACAGUUGUUAAAGGGGGGUCGAAAGACCUCUCGCCUGAAGAGGAGCCCGCGUCCGAUUAGCUAGUUGGUGAGGUAACGGCUCACCAAGGCUUCGAUCGGUAGCCGGCCUGAGAGGGCGGUCGGCCACACUGGCACUGAGACACGGGCCAGACUCCUACGGGAGGCAGCAGUGGGGAAUUUUGGGCAAUGGGCGAAAGCCUGACCCAGCAACGCCGCGUGAAGGAUGAAAUCCCCUCUGGGAAUGUAAACUUCGAAAGUCG
Molecule: ribosomal RNA, 429 nt
Filed under: uncultured bacterium
Lineage: Bacteria
Description: bacterial SSU rRNA
Rfam family: Bacterial small subunit ribosomal RNA
Source: RNAcentral